This 253-nucleotide ribosomal RNA is filed under the name uncultured bacterium. Its description in RNAcentral is "partial 16S ribosomal RNA". It matches the Rfam family "Bacterial small subunit ribosomal RNA", at positions 524 to 776 of the family's 1533-position model. The record is from RNAcentral.
UACGUAGGGUGCAAGCGUUAAUCGGAAUUACUGGGCGUAAAGCGUGCGCAGGCGGUUUUGUAAGUCUGACGUGAAAUCCCCGGGCUCAACCUGGGAAUGGCGAUGAAGACUGCAAGGCUUGAAUCUGGCAGAGGGGGGUAGAAUUCCAGGUGUAGCAGUGAAAUGCGUAGAGAUGUGGAGGAACACCGAUGGCGAAGGCAGCCCCCUGGGUCAAGAUUGACGCUCAUGCACGAAAGCGUGGGGAGCAAACAGG